GGUCUCAGCAAAGAGUCCCAGCACUUUGCCAACUCGUAAGAGGAAGUAUAAGGUGUGACGCCUGCCCGGUGCUCGAAGGUUAAGAGGAUGCGUCAGUCGCAAGAUGAAGCGUUGAAUUGAAGCCCGAGUAAACGGCGGCCGUAACUAUAACGGUCCUAAGGUAGCGAAAUUCCUUGUCGGUUAAAUACCGACCUGCAUGAAUGGCGUAACGAGAUGGGAGCUGUCUCAACCAGAGAUUCAGUGAAAUUGUAGUGGAGGUGAAAAUUCCUCCUACCCGCGGCAAGACGGAAAGACCCCGUGGACCUUUACUACAACUUAGCACUGCUAAUGGGAAUAUCAUGCGCAGGAUAGGUGGGAGGCUUUGAAGUAAGGGCUUUGGCUCUUAUGGAGCCAUCCUUGAGAUACCACCCUUGAUGUUUCUGUUAGCUAACUGGCCUGUGUUAUCCACAGGCAGGACAAUGCUUGGUGGG
RNAcentral lists this ribosomal RNA (470 nucleotides) under Helicobacter pylori. RNAcentral describes it as "bacterial LSU rRNA". It matches the Rfam family "Bacterial large subunit ribosomal RNA", at positions 1801 to 2265 of the family's 2925-position model. The record is from RNAcentral. Lineage: Bacteria; Pseudomonadati; Campylobacterota; Epsilonproteobacteria; Campylobacterales; Helicobacteraceae.